GGGGUGUGAAAACUCAAGUUUGACUUCUAAUCGAACUAAAAGUGAUUAGUGACACUUACACCCUA
This 65-nucleotide transfer RNA is filed under the name Trichodectes canis. Its description in RNAcentral is "tRNA-Ser". Lineage: Eukaryota; Metazoa; Arthropoda; Insecta; Psocodea; Trichodectidae. The record is from RNAcentral.